This 857-nucleotide ribosomal RNA is filed under the name Limosilactobacillus fermentum. RNAcentral describes it as "bacterial SSU rRNA". It matches the Rfam family "Bacterial small subunit ribosomal RNA", at positions 597 to 1454 of the family's 1533-position model. Lineage: Bacteria; Bacillati; Bacillota; Bacilli; Lactobacillales; Lactobacillaceae. The record is from RNAcentral.
AAAGCCUUCGGCUUAACCGGAGAAGUGCAUCGGAAACUGGAUAACUUGAGUGCAGAAGAGGGUAGUGGAACUCCAUGUGUAGCGGUGGAAUGCGUAGAUAUAUGGAAGAACACCAGUGGCGAAGGCGGCUACCUGGUCUGCAACUGACGCUGAGACUCGAAAGCAUGGGUAGCGAACAGGAUUAGAUACCCUGGUAGUCCAUGCCGUAAACGAUGAGUGCUAGGUGUUGGAGGGUUUCCGCCCUUCAGUGCCGGAGCUAACGCAUUAAGCACUCCGCCUGGGGAGUACGACCGCAAGGUUGAAACUCAAAGGAAUUGACGGGGGCCCGCACAAGCGGUGGAGCAUGUGGUUUAAUUCGAAGCUACGCGAAGAACCUUACCAGGUCUUGACAUCUUGCGCCAACCCUAGAGAUAGGGCGUUUCCUUCGGGAACGCAAUGACAGGUGGUGCAUGGUCGUCGUCAGCUCGUGUCGUGAGAUGUUGGGUUAAGUCCCGCAACGAGCGCAACCCUUGUUACUAGUUGCCAGCAUUAAGUUGGGCACUCUAGUGAGACUGCCGGUGACAAACCGGAGGAAGGUGGGGACGACGUCAGAUCAUCAUGCCCCUUAUGACCUGGGCUACACACGUGCUACAAUGGACGGUACAACGAGUCGCGAACUCGCGAGGGCAAGCAAAUCUCUUAAAACCGUUCUCAGUUCGGACUGCAGGCUGCAACUCGCCUGCACGAAGUCGGAAUCGCUAGUAAUCGCGGAUCAGCAUGCCGCGGUGAAUACGUUCCCGGGCCUUGUACACACCGCCCGUCACACCAUGAGAGUUUGUAACACCCAAAGUCGGUGGGGUAACCUUUAGGAGCCAGCC